RNAcentral lists this ribosomal RNA (498 nucleotides) under uncultured bacterium. RNAcentral describes it as "partial 16S ribosomal RNA". It matches the Rfam family "Bacterial small subunit ribosomal RNA", at positions 30 to 523 of the family's 1533-position model. The record is from RNAcentral.
AUUGAACGCUGGCGGCAUGCUUUACACAUGCAAGUCGAACGGUAACAGGUCUUCGGAUGCUGACGAGUGGCGGACGGGUGAGUAAUGCAUCGGAACGUGCCCAGUCGUGGGGGAUAACGCAGCGAAAGCUGCGCUAAUACCGCAUACGAUCUAUGGAUGAAAGCGGGGGACCGUAAGGCCUCGCGCGAUUGGAGCGGCCGAUGUCAGAUUAGGUAGUUGGUGGGGUAAAGGCCCACCAAGCCAACGAUCUGUAGCUGGUCUGAGAGGACGACCAGCCACACUGGGACGGAGACACGGCCCAGACUCCUACGGGAGGCAGCAGUGGGGAAUUUUGGACAAUGGGCGCAAGCCUGAUCCAGCAAUGCCGCGUGCAGGAAGAAGGCCUUCGGGUUGUAAACUGCUUUUGUACGGAACGAAACGGCUCUCUCUAAUACAGAGGGCUAAUGACGGUACCGUAAGAAUAAGCACCGGCUAACUACAUGCCAGCCGCCGCCGUAA